CCGGGACUCGGCGGGGGAGAGCCGGUUCUCCUCCUGCGAGAGGGUCCGCGGGGCGGACUCCCGGUUCUGGUCCUGGGUCUGGG
This 83-nucleotide transfer RNA is filed under the name Streptomyces nitrosporeus. RNAcentral's name for it is "tRNA-Arg". Lineage: Bacteria; Bacillati; Actinomycetota; Actinomycetes; Kitasatosporales; Streptomycetaceae. The record is from RNAcentral.